Molecule: ribosomal RNA, 465 nt
Filed under: uncultured bacterium
Lineage: Bacteria
Description: partial 16S ribosomal RNA
Rfam family: Bacterial small subunit ribosomal RNA
Source: RNAcentral
CUACGGGUCGCUCCAGUGGGGAAUAUUGGACAAUGGGGGAAACCCUGAUCCAGCAAUGCCGCGUGUGUGAAGAAGGCCUGCGGGUUGUAAAGCACUUUCGGUUGGGAGGACUGCUUCUAGCACUAAUAUUGUUGGAAGUUGACGUUACCUUCAGAAGAAGCACCGGCUAACUCCGUGCCAGCAGCCGCGGUAAUACGGAGGGUGCAAGCGUUAAUCGGAAUUACUGGGCGUAAAGCGCGCGUAGGCGGCUAGAUCAGUCGGGUGUGAAAGCCCCGGGCUUAACCUGGGAACUGCAUCCGAUACUGUCUAGCUUGAGUACAGGAGAGGAGAGUGGAAUUCCACAUGUAGCGGUGAAAGGCGUAGAUAUGUGGAGGAACACCAAAGGCGAAGGCAGCGCUCUGGUCUGAUACGUAUGAUGGGGUGCGAAAGCGUGGGGAGAAAACAGGAUUAGAUACCCGAGUAGUC